GGGUUGUGAGGUUAAGCGACUAAGCGUACACGGUGGAUGCCCUGGCAGUCAGAGGCGAUGAAGGACGUGCUAAUCUGCGAUAAGCGUCGGUAAGGUGAUAUGAACCGUUAUAACCGGCGAUUUCCGAAUGGGGAAACCCAGUGUGAUUCGUCACACUAUCAUUAACUGAAUCCAUAGGUUAAUGAGGCGAACCGGGGGAACUGAAACAUCUAAGUACCCCGAGGAAAAGAAAUCAACCGAGAUUCCCCCAGUAGCGGCGAGCGAACGGGGAGGAGCCCAGAGCCUGAAUCAGUGUGUGUGUUAGUGGAAGCGUCUGGAAAGGCGCGCGAUACAGGGUGACAGCCCCGUACACAAAAAUGCACAUACUGUGAGCUCGAUGAGUAGGGCGGGACACGUGGUAUCCUGUCUGAAUAUGGGGGGACCAUCCUCCAAGGCUAAAUACUCCUGACUGACCGAUAGUGAACCAGUACCGUGAGGGAAAGGCGAAAAGAACCCCGGCGAGGGGAGUGAAAAAGAACCUGAAACCGUGUACGUACAAGCAGUGGGAGCCUCUUUUAUGGGGUGACUGCGUACCUUUUGUAUAAUGGGUCAGCGACUUAUAUUCUGUAGCAAGGUUAACCGAAUAGGGGAGCCGAAGGGAAACCGAGUCUUAACUGGGCGUUAAGUUGCAGGGUAUAGACCCGAAACCCGGUGAUCUAGCCAUGGGCAGGUUGAAGGUUGGGUAACACUAACUGGAGGACCGAACCGACUAAUGUUGAAAAAUUAGCGGAUGACUUGUGGCUGGGGGUGAAAGGCCAAUCAAACCGGGAGAUAGCUGGUUCUCCCCGAAAGCUAUUUAGGUAGCGCCUCGUGAAUUCAUCUCCGGGGGUAGAGCACUGUUUCGGCAAGGGGGUCAUCCCGACUUACCAACCCGAUGCAAACUGCGAAUACCGGAGAAUGUUAUCACGGGAGACACACGGCGGGUGCUAACGUCCGUCGUGAAGAGGGAAACAACCCAGACCGCCAGCUAAGGUCCCAAAGUCAUGGUUAAGUGGGAAACGAUGUGGGAAGGCCCAGACAGCCAGGAUGUUGGCUUAGAAGCAGCCAUCAUUUAAAGAAAGCGUAAUAGCUCACUGGUCGAGUCGGCCUGCGCGGAAGAUGUAACGGGGCUAAACCAUGCACCGAAGCUGCGGCAGCGACGCUUAUGCGUUGUUGGGUAGGGGAGCGUUCUGUAAGCCUGUGAAGGUGUACUGUGAGGUAUGCUGGAGGUAUCAGAAGUGCGAAUGCUGACAUAAGUAACGAUAAAGCGGGUGAAAAGCCCGCUCGCCGGAAGACCAAGGGUUCCUGUCCAACGUUAAUCGGGGCAGGGUGAGUCGACCCCUAAGGCGAGGCCGAAAGGCGUAGUCGAUGGGAAACAGGUUAAUAUUCCUGUACUUGGUGUUACUGCGAAGGGGGACGGAGAAGGCUAUGUUGGCCGGGCGACGGUUGUCCCGGUUUAAGCGUGUAGGCUGGUUUUCCAGGCAAAUCCGGAAAAUCAAGGCUGAGGCGUGAUGACGAGGCACUACGGUGCUGAAGCAACAAAUGCCCUGCUUCCAGGAAAAGCCUCUAAGCAUCAGGUAACAUCAAAUCGUACCCCAAACCGACACAGGUGGUCAGGUAGAGAAUACCAAGGCGCUUGAGAGAACUCGGGUGAAGGAACUAGGCAAAAUGGUGCCGUAACUUCGGGAGAAGGCACGCUGAUAUGUAGGUGAAGCGACUUGCUCGUGGAGCUGAAAUCAGUCGAAGAUACCAGCUGGCUGCAACUGUUUAUUAAAAACACAGCACUGUGCAAACACGAAAGUGGACGUAUACGGUGUGACGCCUGCCCGGUGCCGGAAGGUUAAUUGAUGGGGUUAGCGGUAACGCGAAGCUCUUGAUCGAAGCCCCGGUAAACGGCGGCCGUAACUAUAACGGUCCUAAGGUAGCGAAAUUCCUUGUCGGGUAAGUUCCGACCUGCACGAAUGGCGUAAUGAUGGCCAGGCUGUCUCCACCCGAGACUCAGUGAAAUUGAACUCGCUGUGAAGAUGCAGUGUACCCGCGGCAAGACGGAAAGACCCCGUGAACCUUUACUAUAGCUUGACACUGAACAUUGAGCCUUGAUGUGUAGGAUAGGUGGGAGGCUUUGAAGUGUGGACGCCAGUCUGCAUGGAGCCGGCCUUGAAAUACCACCCUUUAAUGUUUGAUGUUCUAACGUUGGCCCCUGACCGGGGUUGCGGACAGUGUCUGGUGGGUAGUUUGACUGGGGCGGUCUCCUCCUAAAGAGUAACGGAGGAGCACGAAGGUUGGCUAAUCCUGGUCGGACAUCAGGAGGUUAGUGCAAUGGCAUAAGCCAGCUUGACUGCGAGCGUGACGGCGCGAGCAGGUGCGAAAGCAGGUCAUAGUGAUCCGGUGGUUCUGAAUGGAAGGGCCAUCGCUCAACGGAUAAAAGGUACUCCGGGGAUAACAGGCUGAUACCGCCCAAGAGUUCAUAUCGACGGCGGUGUUUGGCACCUCGAUGUCGGCUCAUCACAUCCUGGGGCUGAAGUAGGUCCCAAGGGUAUGGCUGUUCGCCAUUUAAAGUGGUACGCGAGCUGGGUUUAGAACGUCGUGAGACAGUUCGGUCCCUAUCUGCCGUGGGCGCUGGAGAACUGAGGGGGCUGCUCCUAGUACGAGAGGACCGGAGUGGACGCAUCACUGGUGUUCGGGUUGUCAUGCCAAUGGCACUGCCCGGUAGCUAAAUGCGGAAGAGAUAAGUGCUGAAAGCAUCUAAGCACGAAACUUGCCCCGAGAUGAGUUCUCCCUGACUCCUUGAGAGUCCUGAAGGAACGUUGAAGACGACGACGUUGAUAGGCCGGGUGUGUAAGCGCAGCGAUGCGUUGAGCUAACCGGUACUAAUGAACCGUGAGGCUUAACCUUACAACGCCGAAG
RNAcentral lists this ribosomal RNA (2925 nucleotides) under Escherichia coli. RNAcentral describes it as "bacterial LSU rRNA". It matches the Rfam family "Bacterial large subunit ribosomal RNA". The record is from RNAcentral. Lineage: Bacteria; Pseudomonadati; Pseudomonadota; Gammaproteobacteria; Enterobacterales; Enterobacteriaceae.